Amphiprion ocellaris (clown anemonefish) is the source of this 678-nucleotide long non-coding RNA. Lineage: Eukaryota; Metazoa; Chordata; Actinopteri; Pomacentridae. The record is from Ensembl.
GUAAGUGCUGGGUCGCGGGAUGAGGCGCGGCUGAAGGUUCGCCUUGCUCGUCUCCGCUUAGAGGCCCAGGAGAAGGAGCAGGCAAGACAGUUUGAGCUGGAGGUGAAAAGACUGCAGAUUGAGGCCGACACGGCUGUGAGGCUGCGUAAGCUGGAGCUGGACGCUCAGGCUGCUCGGUCGCUGCCUGCCUCUGAUGGAGCUGCUGGGUCCGCUUCCACCGGUUUGCCGGCCGCCACGUUUGACGUUUGUUUCCCAGAGACGAUGGGUUGAGGAGGAAUUGGAAGUUUGUUGGCUUAGACCUGGUGUCAUUCCAUCAGUGUUAAACUUCCCGGCUCAUCUUGGAAGAGUACGUGCCAGAAAGACCACGACCAAGCAGCCUUGAGAUCUUAGGCAGCGUCUCCCUGAGGUCCCUCUCUAUCUCCCCACACAUCCACCAACCACUGGAACACAUCUCCAAAGUUCUGCUGGACCAGCUCAGCUUCCCCUCAGAAGAAGUGCUGCCACCUGCCAGAUGAAGGAGCCUUUUGAGAGGCAGCUGGCAUCGUGAUUGGACUGUACUUUGGUCUGUUCCAAUCCAGCUUCAGCUCCAGAGACGGCAGGCGGGACGAGUCAACGGAGGCCGGGUGGACGAAGGCAUGCAGCUGAGUACAAUCCAGAAAACAACAAAUAACAAGUCAA